Molecule: ribosomal RNA, 2224 nt
Filed under: Triticum aestivum (bread wheat)
Lineage: Eukaryota; Viridiplantae; Streptophyta; Magnoliopsida; Poales; Poaceae
Description: partial small subunit ribosomal RNA
Source: RNAcentral
GAAACACUAUGGUUCGUCCUAAAAAAAUAAAUCUGCCACGGUUAACCUACGAAGAAAGACCUACGCCACGACCGCCGCCCGCGGGUCGCCCGCUCCCUCGCGCCCCUGUUGCUCCCUCCUCGAUCCCGAUCUGGAUCGAGGGGACGAGGAGCUCCUGCCUCCCCGACGGCCGGCCUCCUCCUCGCCCCGCUGCUGCGUCCGGCGCCGCCACGGCCUCUGGAGCCAGGGAAGCCAUGGCCUGAGUUCGGCCUCGAGGUCCCCGCCGCCGUCUCCUGCAGCUUCUGCCCCGCCGCCUCACCGCCCAAGCUCGCCGUCGCACCAACCUCGGCGCCGCGCCGCCGCCGGCUCUGGUCGCCUCCACCUCCGCUCCAGUGCUUAAGGAUGGAGGAGAACGGCCUGAAGUUCGUGCUCGAUCUGGUGGUCAGGUUCCCACUUCGGCAAGAGUUCGCCGAUGACCUUAAGCACUCCGAUCCGGUGCCGCUAAGGCUGCCACCCAGGGGGAGGCUGGCGCUCUUGGCACGGAGGAUUCAAUUGGUGAAUCUGGCUGCACCCUGAGGUUAAUCGGGAGGCACCUGGAUGGACGAAAAGGGAAAGCCUAAGGCCGAGAAUAGCCGAUCAUGCAUGUAUGAGUGUCCCGCACUGAUCAGGGAGAAGGUUCAUUGGCACAUAGACUUCUGUGUUAACAGGGCGACAACGUCAAGGAUGGCAUCUGCGAGAACUCUUUUGUGUUAGAUAAAUUGAUGAUUAUGUCUGGAUCUCCGGGGGCAGACACUAUCAUACUGAAGCUCAGCCGGACCACGACUGUCAACAGGGUCACCGUAUUCUUUGAGGAACACAAACAAUCCAGGAUCCAAAUGAGCUUGGUUACGUACUAAAUUAUUGUUGAGGAUCUCAGGUAAUCGUUGCAGUAGAAGAUUACGCCCCUGAUCAUCAUUCUCAUUUUCAAACUUGCCAUUUAUCAGAGGAUUUGGAUGGGGUGCAUUCAUGCAUUAUAUUGGAGCAAGGACCUGCCGAGCAGGGGGAUACCAUGGGGAGGCGAACCUGGUAAAAUAGGGGUGGAAAGUAUACUAUAGGUAUGUUAGCCGUGGCAAGGAAUUGGUGGAUUGUUUUCCAUUCAGUUGUGUUCAACACUGAAAAAUGGUAUAUCAUUUUUUGUCCUUUCCAAAUUAAAAUAUCAAUCCAUAAUUUUUUUGUCAUUCACAAAUUAAAUUAUCAGUGUAGAAGUCUAUUUGAGCAUUCAUUUCCUAUCCUUUUAUAAACUAGAAGGCCACGCUAGGUUUCUUAGUGUAGUAUUUGGAAUGUUUGACCCUGAACUGGCCCUCUGUUCCAACUAACGAAAAAAUGACCCUUUGUUGUGAUUUUAUUUUUUAUAUGUAAAACGAUAUUUGUAAAAUUUUGUAUUCGGUCUGCCAUUUGCCAGUGAAUUAGGGCUGCAUUUUAGAUUAGAACCAUGAAGUAACUAUGAUGUGCACCGCUUGGAACCAGAGCGAGUCUAAUGAAAGACGGGCAUUUGAUCAUGUUCUAUUUAAUUAUCAUUUCGUUCGUUUCGUCGUUCCAUCCCUCCCUGAACUGACCUUACCCACAACUCUUACCUUUUCAUUUCAUUUUAUCAAGGAAAGACUGUGGGGUUUGUGUAUCCUUAUCCAGGACAUUGUGAAGGCUUCUGAUGCAGUUUACAAGAAGCAAUUGGUGAGCUAAUUCAGAGAUAAGUGAAAUGAUAAUAAGAAGGUUAAAUAAUGUUGUUCAAUCUUUCCGUCAAGCAACCUGUUUGGCCCCAAAUGUCCGCACCGACGCGGUGACGCCCGUGGGCGCCACCGUUCCUUCCUGAAGGGCAUCGGGUGUUGCUUGGCAUGCGGAGGUUCAAGGUGCUAGGAGCGAGGUGGUAAAUCUCCGGUGGGCGCAGCGGUUGCGGGUCAUCAUCAUUUUCGUCGAUCCGACGCUGUCGACAUUAUUUUCUCUCUUCUUUCUCUUUUUUUUUUCUUUUGGGCGUGCUUGUGCUGUUUGCCCCAGCAUUGGACUCUUGGUUGUAUUGGGUUGUUGCUCUAUCUAUAUAGCGGGGCGAAAGCCUAUUUCGUAAGAUUCUUCCAUGAAUUCAAGACUUGGCAAACCACUCCCAUUACAAGGUUCCAUAACACAUGCUGGAUUUGUAUGUCAAGAUAUCUGAAGGGCAAAAACUUAGUACAUCUAUUCUGUUUUUUUAAUAAAUCUCCCUCUUGAAAUGAGC